This 329-nucleotide ribosomal RNA is filed under the name uncultured eukaryote. Its description in RNAcentral is "partial 18S ribosomal RNA". It matches the Rfam family "Eukaryotic small subunit ribosomal RNA", at positions 1470 to 1796 of the family's 1831-position model. The record is from RNAcentral.
CCCUUAGAUGUUCUGGGCCGCACGCGCGCUACAAUGAUGAAUUCAACGAGUUUAUAACCUUGGUUGAAAAGCCUGGGUAAUCUUUUGAACUUUCGUCGUGAUGGGGCUAGACCCUUGCAAUUAUUGGUCUCCAACGAGGAAUUCCUAGUAAACGCAAGUCAUCAGCUUGCAUUGAUUACGUCCCUGCCCUUUGUACACACCGCCCGUCGCACCUACCGAUUGAAUGGUCCGGUGAAAUCUUCGGAUUGAGACUUUGAUUUCUUCACGGAAAACACUGUUUUAAAAAGUUGAUUAAACCUUACCAUUUAGAGGAAGGUGAAGUCGUAACA